RNAcentral lists this ribosomal RNA (253 nucleotides) under uncultured bacterium. RNAcentral describes it as "partial 16S ribosomal RNA". It matches the Rfam family "Bacterial small subunit ribosomal RNA", at positions 524 to 776 of the family's 1533-position model. The record is from RNAcentral.
UACGAAGGGUGCAAGCGUUAAUCGGAAUUACUGGGCGUAAAGCGCGCGUAGGCGGUUUGGUUAGUUGGAUGUGAAAGCCCCGGGCUCAACCUGGGAACUGCAUCCAAUACUGCCAAGCUAGAGUACGGUAGAGGGGGGUAGAAUUCCACGUGUAGCGGUGAAAUGCGUAGAGAUGUGGAGGAAUACCAGUGGCGAAGGCGGCCCCCUGGAUCGAUACUGACGCUGAGGUGCGAAAGCGUGGGGAGCAAACAGG